RNAcentral lists this ribosomal RNA (493 nucleotides) under uncultured bacterium. Its description in RNAcentral is "partial 16S ribosomal RNA". It matches the Rfam family "Bacterial small subunit ribosomal RNA", at positions 28 to 507 of the family's 1533-position model. The record is from RNAcentral.
GACGAACGCUGGCGGCGUGCUUAACACAUGCAAGUCGAACGGUGAAGGGACCGGUUUUUGCUGGUUCCGGAUGAGUGGCGAACGGGUGAGUAACACGUGAGUAACCUGCCCCCUUCUUCUGGAAAAUCGCAUGAACGUGUGGCUAAUACGGGAUAUUCUGCGCCUGCUGCAUGGAGGGUGUGGGAACGAUAUUGCUUCGGUGGGGGAUGGGCUCGCGGCCUAUCAGGUUGGUGGUGGGGUGAUGGCCUACCAAGGCGGUGACGAGUAGCCGGCCGAGGAGGAUCGGCGGCAAUAGAGGUGAGACACGGCCCACCAGACUACGGGAGGAAGCAGCAGUGAAGAAUAUUGCACGGUGGGCAGAAGGAUGAUGCAGCGACGCGGGGUGGGGGAUGGACGCCGUCGGGUUGUAAACCUCUUUCGGGGGUGAAGCAAGCCUGUCCCUUUUGUGGGUGGGUUGACGGUAGCUGGAUAAGAAGCGCCGGCUAACUACGUG